RNAcentral lists this small nuclear RNA (276 nucleotides) under Erinaceus europaeus (western European hedgehog). RNAcentral describes it as "7SK RNA". It matches the Rfam family "7SK RNA". From Rfam's summary of the family: 7SK was discovered as an abundant small nuclear RNA in the mid-70s but a possible function has only recently been suggested. Two independent studies have found that 7SK RNA binds the CDK9/cyclin T complex (known as elongation factor P-TEFb). P-TEFb activates transcription by phosphorylating the C-terminal domain of RNA polymerase II. Lineage: Eukaryota; Metazoa; Chordata; Mammalia; Eulipotyphla; Erinaceidae. The record is from Rfam by way of RNAcentral.
GGAUGUGAGGGCGAUCUGGCUGCGAUAUCAGUCACCCCAUUGAUCUCUGGGGUUGAUUGGCUGAUCUGGCUGGCUAGGCGGGUGUCCCCUUACUCCCUCACCACUCCUAUAGUUGUGCUCUCUGUCGAAGAGGACAGCCUUCUCCGAAUAGAGACGGACCAGUCUUCAGUCGAGGGUAUAUGAGUAGCUGCUGGAUCCCAGUUCAAGCCCCCGGCUCCCCACCUGCAGGGGCGUCGCUUCACAGGUGAUGAAACAGGUCUGCAGAUGACUUUCUCU